Molecule: ribosomal RNA, 255 nt
Filed under: uncultured bacterium
Lineage: Bacteria
Description: partial 16S ribosomal RNA
Rfam family: Bacterial small subunit ribosomal RNA
Source: RNAcentral
UACGUAGGGUGCAAGCGUUUAAUCGGAAUUACUGGGCGUAAAGCGUGCGCAGGCGGUUUUGUAAGUCUGUCGUGAAAUCCCCGGGCUCAACCUGGGAAUUGCGAUGGAGACUGCAAGGCUAGAAUCUGGCAGAGGGGGGGUAGAAUUCCACGUGUAGCAGUGAAAUGCGUAGAGAUGUGGAGGAACACCGAUGGCGAAGGCAGCCCCCUGGGUCAAGAUUGACGCUCAUGCACGAAAGCGUGGGGAGCAAACAGG